AUGGGAACGCGAAGAACCUUACCUGGUCUGACAUCCACAGAACUUAGCAGAGAUGCUUUGGUGCCUUCGGGAACUCUGAGACAGGUGCUGCAUGGCUGUCGUCAGCUCGUGUUGUGAAAUGUUGGGUUAAGUCCCGCAACGAGCGCAACCCUUAUCCUUUGUUGCCAGCGGUUAGGCCGGGAACUCAAAGGAGACUGCCAGUGAUAAACUGGAGGAAGGUGGGGAUGACGUCAAGUCAUCAUGGCCCUUACGAGUAGGGCUACACACGUGCUACAAUGGCGCAUACAAAGAGAAGCGACCUCGCGAGAGCAAAGCGGACCUCAUAAAGUGCGUCGUAGUCCGGAUUGGAGUCUGCAACUCGACUCCAUGAAGUCGGAAUCGCUAGUAAUCGUAGAUCAGAAUGCUACGGUGAAUACGUUCCCGGGUCUUGUACACACCG
This 439-nucleotide ribosomal RNA is filed under the name uncultured bacterium. RNAcentral's name for it is "bacterial SSU rRNA". It matches the Rfam family "Bacterial small subunit ribosomal RNA", at positions 954 to 1392 of the family's 1533-position model. The record is from RNAcentral.